AGAUUGAACGCUGGCGGCAUGCCUAACACAUGCAAGUCGAACGGGAGUAGCAAUACUCUAGUGGCGGACGGGUGAGGAAUACGUAGGAAUUUGCCCUUAAGUGGGGGAUAACCCGGGGAAACCCGGAUUAAUACCGCAUGACCUCGAAAGAGCAAAGUGGGGGAUCGCAAGACCUCACGCUUUUGGAGAAGCCUACGUCGGAUUAGCUAGUUGGUGAGGUAAUGGCUCACCAAGGCGACGAUCCGUAACUGGUCUGAGAGGAUGAUCAGUCACACCGGAACUGAGACACGGUCCGGACUCCUACGGAGCAGCAGUGGGGAAUAUUGGACAAUGGGCGCAAGCCGAUCCAGCAAUGCCGCGUGUGUGAAG
Molecule: ribosomal RNA, 369 nt
Filed under: uncultured soil bacterium
Lineage: Bacteria
Description: bacterial SSU rRNA
Rfam family: Bacterial small subunit ribosomal RNA
Source: RNAcentral